GGUGGCUCAGUGGUAGAGUGCUUGUCUUGCAUGCAUGAGGCUCUGGGUUCAAUUCCUCAGCACCA
Non-coding RNA from Dipodomys ordii (Ord's kangaroo rat), 65 nucleotides. NCBI's taxonomy places the organism in Eukaryota, Metazoa, Chordata, Mammalia, Rodentia, Heteromyidae. The record is from Rfam.